Molecule: non-coding RNA, 29 nt
Filed under: Rattus norvegicus (Norway rat)
Lineage: Eukaryota; Metazoa; Chordata; Mammalia; Rodentia; Muridae
Source: RNAcentral
CAUUCAACAAGCUUUUUAGGGGGGUCUAA